Long non-coding RNA from Lucilia sericata (common green bottle fly), 196 nucleotides. RefSeq lists it as uncharacterized. Lineage: Eukaryota; Metazoa; Arthropoda; Insecta; Diptera; Calliphoridae. The record is from RefSeq and is a predicted model, not a curated record. The transcript has 2 exons.
UUGUGUGAAUUAAUAUAUGUUUUUAAAAAUAUUCAGUCAAUUUUAUUUGUUGUGUGAAUUAAUAUUUAUUUUCGAAAAUGUGUAGUGUAAAUUAAUAUUUUUAUUUAUUCUUUACUGGGAUUAAUUCGUAAUGAGCCUAAAUCUAAAUUCAGUUCGGUAAUUUUGUUUCAACUACUAGAGAAUUGCAAUGUAGAAG